GAUGAACGCUGGCGGCGUGCCUAAUACAUGCAAGUCGAGCGAACGGACGAGAAGCUUGCUUCUCUGAUGUUAGCGGCGGACGGGUGAGUAACACGUGGAUAACCUACCUAUAAGACUGGGAUAACUUCGGGAAACCGGAGCUAAUACCGGAUAAUAUUUUGAACCGCAUGGUUCAAAAGUGAAAGACGGUCUUGCUGUCACUUAUAGAUGGAUCCGCGCUGCAUUAGCUAGUUGGUAAGGUAACGGCUUACCAAGGCAACGAUGCAUAGCCGACCUGAGAGGGUAAUCGGCCACACUGAACUUGAGACACGGUCCAGACUCCUACGGGAGGCAGCAGUAGGGAAUCUUCCGCAAGGGGCGAAGGCCUGACGGGGAAACGCCGCGUGAGUGAUGAAGGUCUUCGGAUCGUAAAACUCUGUUAUUAGGGAAGAACAUAUGUGUAAGUAACUGUGCACAUCUUGACGGUACCUAAUCAGAAAGCCACGGCUAACUACGU
This 496-nucleotide ribosomal RNA is filed under the name uncultured bacterium. RNAcentral's name for it is "partial 16S ribosomal RNA". It matches the Rfam family "Bacterial small subunit ribosomal RNA", at positions 28 to 506 of the family's 1533-position model. The record is from RNAcentral.